GUGCACGAUAAAUAGAGUCACAAGAAAAUUAGAUCUUCAUCUCCUCCAUAUUCACAUUUCACAGGCUAACAUAAAGAGUCUCCGCUAUUGUGCUUGUAAGAUCCAGAAAAAGUAGGCUUAGCAAUGCAUUUCACCUCAACUAGAAAUUUGAAUAGAACAAAAUAAAUGGUGAUUAAGAGGGAAAAAAGUGAAAUCUCAUCUUUAACCCUGCCCAUCAUCAUCUCUACCUCUCGCCUCUUCUGCAGCUGCCAUCAAUUCGUCAAAUUUAUCCGUCUUCCCCAGCGCUACCUCAAG
RNAcentral lists this long non-coding RNA (294 nucleotides) under Olea europaea subsp. europaea. Lineage: Eukaryota; Viridiplantae; Streptophyta; Magnoliopsida; Lamiales; Oleaceae. The record is from RNAcentral.